GACGAACGCUGGCGGCGUGCUUAACACAUGCAAGUCGAGCGAUGAAAGCCUUAUGAACUAUUCGUAGUGAUUGGGGCCGGAUUAGCGGCGGACGGGUGAGUAACGCGUGAGCAACCUGCCUUAAACAACGGGAUAGCCUCGGGAAACCGGGAUUAAUACCGUAUGAGACCCCGCCUUCACAUGAAGAAGAGGUUAAAGAUUUAUCGGUUUAAGAUGGGCUCGCGUCUGAUUAGCUAGUUGGUGAGAUAAAAGCCCACCAAGGCAACGAUCAGUAACCGGCUUGAGAGAGUGAACGGGCACAUUGGAACUGAGACACGGUCCAAACUCUUACGGGAGGCAUGAGUGGGGAAUAUUGCACAAUGGGGGAAACCCUGAUGCAGCGACGCCGCGUGAGCGAUGAAGGAAUUCGUUUCGUAAAGCUCUGUCCAAGGGGAAGAUAAUGACAGUACCCUUGGAGGAAGCCCCGGCUAAAUACGUGCCAGCCGCCGCGGUAA
Molecule: ribosomal RNA, 494 nt
Filed under: uncultured bacterium
Lineage: Bacteria
Description: partial 16S ribosomal RNA
Rfam family: Bacterial small subunit ribosomal RNA
Source: RNAcentral